AUUUCCGAAUGAGGAAACUCACUUAGAGUAAUGUCUAAGUAUCAUUAAGUGAAUACAUAGCUUAAUGAGGGGAACUCAGGGAACUGAAACAUCUAAGUACCUGAAGGAAGAGAAAGAAAUUCGAUUCUGUAAGUAGCGGCGAGCGAACGCGGAAGAGCCCAAACCAAUAAAGUUUUCUUUAUUGGGGUUGCGGACAUAUCAUAACGAAG
Molecule: ribosomal RNA, 209 nt
Filed under: Clostridioides difficile
Lineage: Bacteria; Bacillati; Bacillota; Clostridia; Peptostreptococcales; Peptostreptococcaceae
Description: partial 23S ribosomal RNA
Rfam family: Bacterial large subunit ribosomal RNA
Source: RNAcentral